Molecule: ribosomal RNA, 1553 nt
Filed under: Bacillus subtilis
Lineage: Bacteria; Bacillati; Bacillota; Bacilli; Caryophanales; Bacillaceae
Description: 16S ribosomal RNA
Rfam family: Bacterial small subunit ribosomal RNA
Source: RNAcentral
UUAUCGGAGAGUUUGAUCCUGGCUCAGGACGAACGCUGGCGGCGUGCCUAAUACAUGCAAGUCGAGCGGACAGAUGGGAGCUUGCUCCCUGAUGUUAGCGGCGGACGGGUGAGUAACACGUGGGUAACCUGCCUGUAAGACUGGGAUAACUCCGGGAAACCGGGGCUAAUACCGGAUGGUUGUUUGAACCGCAUGGUUCAAACAUAAAAGGUGGCUUCGGCUACCACUUACAGAUGGACCCGCGGCGCAUUAGCUAGUUGGUGAGGUAAUGGCUCACCAAGGCAACGAUGCGUAGCCGACCUGAGAGGGUGAUCGGCCACACUGGGACUGAGACACGGCCCAGACUCCUACGGGAGGCAGCAGUAGGGAAUCUUCCGCAAUGGACGAAAGUCUGACGGAGCAACGCCGCGUGAGUGAUGAAGGUUUUCGGAUCGUAAAGCUCUGUUGUUAGGGAAGAACAAGUACCGUUCGAAUAGGGCGGUACCUUGACGGUACCUAACCAGAAAGCCACGGCUAACUACGUGCCAGCAGCCGCGGUAAUACGUAGGUGGCAAGCGUUGUCCGGAAUUAUUGGGCGUAAAGGGCUCGCAGGCGGUUUCUUAAGUCUGAUGUGAAAGCCCCCGGCUCAACCGGGGAGGGUCAUUGGAAACUGGGGAACUUGAGUGCAGAAGAGGAGAGUGGAAUUCCACGUGUAGCGGUGAAAUGCGUAGAGAUGUGGAGGAACACCAGUGGCGAAGGCGACUCUCUGGUCUGUAACUGACGCUGAGGAGCGAAAGCGUGGGGAGCGAACAGGAUUAGAUACCCUGGUAGUCCACGCCGUAAACGAUGAGUGCUAAGUGUUAGGGGGUUUCCGCCCCUUAGUGCUGCAGCUAACGCAUUAAGCACUCCGCCUGGGGAGUACGGUCGCAAGACUGAAACUCAAAGGAAUUGACGGGGGCCCGCACAAGCGGUGGAGCAUGUGGUUUAAUUCGAAGCAACGCGAAGAACCUUACCAGGUCUUGACAUCCUCUGACAAUCCUAGAGAUAGGACGUCCCCUUCGGGGGCAGAGUGACAGGUGGUGCAUGGUUGUCGUCAGCUCGUGUCGUGAGAUGUUGGGUUAAGUCCCGCAACGAGCGCAACCCUUGAUCUUAGUUGCCAGCAUUCAGUUGGGCACUCUAAGGUGACUGCCGGUGACAAACCGGAGGAAGGUGGGGAUGACGUCAAAUCAUCAUGCCCCUUAUGACCUGGGCUACACACGUGCUACAAUGGACAGAACAAAGGGUAGCGAAACCGCGAGGUUAAGCCAAUCCCACAAAUCUGUUCUCAGUUCGGAUCGCAGUCUGCAACUCGACUGCGUGAAGCUGGAAUCGCUAGUAAUCGCGGAUCAGCAUGUCGCGGUGAAUACGUUCCCGGGCCUUGUACACACCGCCCGUCACACCACGAGAGUUUGUAACACCCGAAGUCGGUGAGGUAACCUUUUAGGAGCCAGCCGCCGAAGGUGGGACAGAUGAUUGGGGUGAAGUCGUAACAAGGUAGCCGUAUCGGAAGGUGCGGCUGGAUCACCUCCUUUCUA